RNAcentral lists this ribosomal RNA (583 nucleotides) under Polyzonus fasciatus. RNAcentral describes it as "partial large subunit ribosomal RNA". The stretch from base 203 to 399 matches the Rfam family "Archaeal large subunit ribosomal RNA", at positions 1791 to 2108 of the family's 2987-position model. Lineage: Eukaryota; Metazoa; Arthropoda; Insecta; Coleoptera; Cerambycidae. The record is from RNAcentral.
UUCCCGAAUUUAAAAGAGCUAUAUUUUUUAUUGUAAUAAAUAUUAUUAAUAUGAAGUUAAAUGCUAUUAUAUCUGGUUUUUUAAGAAAAUUUAAUUUUAUCAUGUUUAAAGGGAUGAGCUUUUAAUAGGAUUAGAAUUUUUGUUAUAUUUGUUUUAUUAAAAUUUAAUUUUUAAUUUAAUUAGUAAUAAUGAUUAAAUUAGUAUAAGGUUGAUUAAAGGAACUCGGCAACAUUUUUCCGCCUGUUUAUUAAAAACAUGUCCUUUUGAAUUUAAUUUAAGGUCUGGCCUGCCCACUGAGGCUGCGGUACUCUGACCGUGCUAAGGUAGCAUAAUAAUUAGUUUUUUAAUUGAAAGCUGGAAUGAAAGGCUGGACGAGAAAAAAUCUGUCUCUGAUUAAUAGAAUUUUAUUUUUAAGUAAGAAAGCUUAAAUUCUUUAAAAAGACGAGAAGACCCUAUAGAGUUUAAUUUUGGUUGGGGUGACUGAAAAAUUAAAUAAACUUUUGAUUAAAAGAUAAAAUUACCUUAGGGAUAACAGCGUAAUUCUUCUAAGAGUUCUAAUCGAAAGAAGAGUUUGCGACCUCGA